ACUUAAUGAAUAAAGAUUCACAAGGGCCCAAAAGCCCAAAUCCCUUAAAGUGGCCGGCCAUGUUAGAAGAAUGGUUUUUGGUUCUUUAGGUCACUUAUUUGAAGGGACUAUAUAAAGGACUUUAUAGCCUAAAUUCAUUAAGGGUUUUUUUUAGGAAAUUGGAGAGAACACAAAGCUCUCCUUUCUCUCUAAAGAGGCCGGCCCCCUUGGAGGGAUUAGCUAGCAAUCUCACUCCUCCAAGGUCACUCAUUUCUUCUC
Molecule: long non-coding RNA, 258 nt
Filed under: Malus domestica (apple)
Lineage: Eukaryota; Viridiplantae; Streptophyta; Magnoliopsida; Rosales; Rosaceae
Description: long non-coding RNA (MDOM_LNC018918)
Source: RNAcentral